Molecule: non-coding RNA, 70 nt
Organism: Danionella cerebrum
Lineage: Eukaryota; Metazoa; Chordata; Actinopteri; Cypriniformes; Danionidae
Source: the annotation of a GenBank genome assembly
GCCUGGCUAGCUCAGUCGGUAGAGCAUGAGACUCUUGUCUCAGGGUCGUGGUUUGAGCCCACGUCGGGCA